Molecule: ribosomal RNA, 549 nt
Filed under: Leotiomycetes sp. C_2_BESC_319f
Lineage: Eukaryota; Fungi; Ascomycota; Leotiomycetes
Description: eukaryotic LSU rRNA
Rfam family: Eukaryotic large subunit ribosomal RNA
Source: RNAcentral
ACCUCGGAUCAGGUAGGGAUACCCGCUGAACUUAAGCAUAUCAAUAAGCGGAGGAAAAGAAACCAACAGGGAUUACCUCAGUAACGGCGAGUGAAGCGGUAACAGCUCAAAUUUGAAAUCUGGCUCUUUCAGGGUCCGAGUUGUAAUUUGUAGAAGAUGCUUUGGGUGUGGCCCUGGUCUAAGUUCCUUGGAACAGGACGUCAUAGAGGGUGAGAAUCCCGUAUGUGACUAGNUGCUUUCGCCCGUGUAAAGCUCUUUNGACGAGUCGAGUUGUUUGGGAAUGCAGCUCAAAAUGGGUGGUAAAUUUCAUCUAAAGCUAAAUAUUGGCCAGAGACCGAUAGCGCACAAGUAGAGUGAUCGAAAGAUGAAAAGCACUUUGGAAAGAGAGUUAAACAGUACGUGAAAUUGUUGAAAGGGAAGCGCUUGCAACCAGACUUAGUUGCGGCCGAUCAUNUAGGGUUCUCCNUGGUGCACUCGGUCGUAUCUAGGCCAGCAUCGGUUUGGGUGGUGGGAUAAAGGCCUUGGGAAUGUAGCUUCUUUCGGGGAGUG